GGCAAUUAUAUAGAUAGUUUCAACAUUUUUUAGCCAAUGAUAACCUUAACCAUAAUCGAGCGACCGACCCUCUAAAACACGACACAAUCUCCAAAUGUGCGAUGAUCUUGAUUUCCUCAAAACACCAAGAGAUAUCACUCCAUUAUCCCACACCCAUUUGAAGGUGCGAGAAGGAUUCAAGCUAAUUGCAGCUGCCAGAGUGAAGAGAGUUUUUUU
This 216-nucleotide unclassified non-coding RNA is filed under the name Hevea brasiliensis (rubber tree). Lineage: Eukaryota; Viridiplantae; Streptophyta; Magnoliopsida; Malpighiales; Euphorbiaceae. The record is from RNAcentral.